Pogoniulus pusillus (Red-fronted tinkerbird) is the source of this 433-nucleotide non-coding RNA. Lineage: Eukaryota; Metazoa; Chordata; Aves; Piciformes; Lybiidae. The record is from the annotation of a RefSeq genome assembly.
AGUGCCGUGCGUUGCCUUGAGGCUUCCGCCGCUCCCGAUGGCGCCUGGGCUGCGGCCGUGGCUCCUAGCCUUCGCCUUGGCCUCAGGCUCAGGUCCGGCAGGGGUGUGGGCGCAGCCGAGGUUGGUGGAGGCUGGUGGAGGGCUGCGAGUGCCCGGGAAUUCGGUCACCCUGCAGUGCCGCGGGCACGGCUUCGACAGGUUUGAGAUUCGUGCAGUUCGAUGGUACCGUCAGACAGCCAGUGGCAGUCUCCAGUGGUUGUCCGUUAUAAGCUCCGAUUCCUCAAUUACUCGAUUCGGAAAGUCCGUGGAGGGUCGAGCUGCGGUGUCCCGGAAUAAUGCCCUCGCCGAAUCAUCUCUUUCCCUGCGGGCCCUGCACCCCCAGGACUCUGGCCGCUACUUCUGUGCUGUUGCACAGAGGCAGGAAACCAGCUGA